This 585-nucleotide ribosomal RNA is filed under the name uncultured bacterium. Its description in RNAcentral is "bacterial SSU rRNA". It matches the Rfam family "Bacterial small subunit ribosomal RNA", at positions 338 to 916 of the family's 1533-position model. The record is from RNAcentral.
CCUACGGGAGGCAGCAGUGGGGAAUUUUGGACAAUGGGCGAAAGCCUGAUCCAGCAAUGCCGCGUGAGUGAAGAAGGCCUUCGGGUUGUAAAGCUCUUUUGUCAGGGAAGAAACGGUGAGGGCUAAUAUCCCUUGCUAAUGACGGUACCUGAAGAAUAAGCACCGGCUAACUACGUGCCAGCAGCCGCGGUAAUACGUAGGGUGCAAGCGUUAAUCGGAAUUACUGGGCGUAAAGCGUGCGCAGGCGGUUUUGUAAGUCUGAUGUGAAAUCCCCGGGCUCAACCUGGGAAUUGCAUUGGAGACUGCAAGGCUAGAAUCUGGCAGAGGGGGGUAGAAUUCCACGUGUAGCAGUGAAAUGCGUAGAUAUGUGGAGGAACACCGAUGGCGAAGGCAGCCCCCUGGGUCAAGAUUGACGCUCAUGCACGAAAGCGUGGGGAGCAAACAGGAUUAGAUACCCUGGUAGUCCACGCCCUAAACGAUGUCUACUAGUUGUCGGGUCUUAAUUGACUUGGUAACGCAGCUAACGCGUGAAGUAGACCGCCUGGGGAGUACGGUCCCAAGAUUAAAACUCAAAUGAAUUGACGG